RNAcentral lists this ribosomal RNA (200 nucleotides) under uncultured bacterium. RNAcentral's name for it is "partial 16S ribosomal RNA". It matches the Rfam family "Bacterial small subunit ribosomal RNA", at positions 8 to 224 of the family's 1533-position model. The record is from RNAcentral.
AGAGUUUGAUCCUGGCUCAGGACUAACGCUGGCGGCGCGCUUAACACAUGCAAGUCGCACGAGAAAGGGGGCAACCCUGAGUACAGUGGCGUACGGGUGAGUAACACGUGGAUCAUCUACCUCUUGGUGGGGAAUACCUCUGGGAAACCGGAGACAAUACCGCAUAAGCUCGUGAGAGGAAGGCAGCAAUGCGCCGAGAG